UACGUAGGGUGCAAGCGUUAAUCGGAAUUACUGGGCGUAAAGCGUGCGUAGGCGGUUGUCUAAGUCUGGUGUGAAAUCUCCCGGCUCAACUGGGAGGGUGCGCCGGAAACUGGAUGACUGGAGUGCCGGAGAGGUAAGCGGAAUUCCUGGUGUAGCGGUGAAAUGCGUAGAGAUCAGGAGGAACACCUGUGGUGUAGACAGCUUACUGGACGGUGACUGACGCUGAGGCACGAAAGCGUGGGUAGCAAACAGG
This 253-nucleotide ribosomal RNA is filed under the name uncultured bacterium. RNAcentral describes it as "partial 16S ribosomal RNA". It matches the Rfam family "Bacterial small subunit ribosomal RNA", at positions 524 to 776 of the family's 1533-position model. The record is from RNAcentral.